This 491-nucleotide ribosomal RNA is filed under the name uncultured bacterium. Its description in RNAcentral is "partial 16S ribosomal RNA". It matches the Rfam family "Bacterial small subunit ribosomal RNA", at positions 29 to 507 of the family's 1533-position model. The record is from RNAcentral.
AGUGAACGCUGGCGGUAGGCCUACACAUGCAAGUCGCACGGCAGCACAGUAAGAGCUUGCUCUUACGGGUGGCGAGUGGCGGACGGGUGAGGAAUACAUCGGAAUCUACUUUUUCGUGGGGGAUAACGUAGGGAAACUUACGCUAAUACCGCAUACGACCUACGGGUGAAAGCAGGGGAUCUUCGGACCUUGCGCGAUUGAAUGAGCCGAUGUCGGAUUAGCUAGUUGGCGGGGUAAAGGCCCACCAAGGCGACGAUCCGUAGCUGGUCUGAGAGGAUGAUCAGCCACACUGGAACUGAGACACGGUCCAGACUCCUACGGGAGGCAGCAGUGGGGAAUAUUGGACAAUGGGCGCAAGCCUGAUCCAGCCAUACCGCGUGGGUGAAGAAGGCCUUCGGGUUGUAAAGCCCUUUUGUUGGGAAAGAAAAGCAGCAGGUUAAUACCCCGCUGUUCUGACGGUACCCAAAGAAUAAGCACCGGCUAACUUCGUG